Molecule: RNA transcript, 2332 nt
Organism: Acipenser ruthenus (sterlet)
Lineage: Eukaryota; Metazoa; Chordata; Actinopteri; Acipenseriformes; Acipenseridae
Gene name: AFG2-interacting ribosome maturation factor-like
Exons: 3
Source: RefSeq, a predicted model, not a curated record
UGGCAGGACAGCAUGUCAAAACAAGCCGCCAUCUUGUCAGUUCACCAGGCAACCAAGAAGUGCUUCGAAGUGAUAGGGCAGCAGCAGAGUGUUUGGGACUGCACCCUGGCAGACUGCUUACCUCUCCUCAGUUCCCUGAGCAGCCUGGGAGAGCAGCUUCAAUCAUGCAGCAAGGUCCGCUUCAAGAACACACCUUUACAGGGCUUUCCUGAGCUGGAACAGCGGCUGAGAUGCAAACUCAUCCAAGCUGUGGAAACAGUGCUGGGAAAACUGGGGGAGAAAAUGAGUGUUCUGCAAACUGUUCAAGAUGCUGUCAGUAACCAAGUGGCUACAGUUUUCCAGCAGUAUGAACAACAUGCAGACACAAUUGGCCUCAGUGCUUCAAUUGAGAGGUCAUCUCUUGCUCCCUCAGUGGCAGACAUGCUGGAAUGGCUACAGUAGACCUUCAGAAUGUUACAUGUACUGUUAGGCUAGUUGGAGAUACAUUUACGAUAAUGUUCUCGCCUUCCCUCUUGGAAAAAGCUCUUUAUAUUCAUGUAUAUUUAAUACCUGUCUUCAAAGAUUGUGAGAAAAAUGCCUGACCAUAUCAGGGUUGCCCACAAGGACACAGAAACAUCCCACUAUGAUAGCCCUCUAACUCUUAUAGUAAGUAGUCCAUCUAUAUUUUUGAUAAUCUGGAGUUUUAUUCCCCUGCAGGGAAGUACAGAUGCAUGAAUAGUUGGAUCAACUAGUACUAGUAUGCAAGCACUGUAGAGGUUAACAGCAUUUCACAAACGCAAACCAUUUAAAGACUUAAGCAUUCUAGAAAGAGUGUUUUAGGACUGAAUAUUGGUAAAAUGAGUGUGCUAAAAUGUAUUUAUUUGUAUCAUUCUUUACAGACAUUAUAACCAGCGUUUUGUUUUGUCUCUUACCUGUUCAUUCCUUUACUUUACAUCAAUAUUCUUAAAGAGGAAGCUUUUACUUCAGACAAUAAAGCCUGACAACUUUUCACACAUACAAGCACUCCCUCAGUCCUGGAACAGGGUGUCUACUCAAAAGGGACAGGAACUGAUACAAGAUACACUGAUGAAGGUUUCAUUUUUCAUGGACUCCCAUUGAACUUGAAAAGAAACUUCAGGUCAAAUAAAACAGAUCCAUACAGUAGUACAGUUAGACAUUUCAUUACCUGCAUUGUAUGCACUGACAGCUGACAGUGGCUGCUGAAAACAUGAUUGAACUGCAUUGGAAGGAGAGUGUUGGAUAACACCACAAAACUGGCAGACGCAGGAAUGCUGGGUUGGGAAAUACUGCCUUUCUGUUUUAAGUUUCCAUUGACUAUUGGUGCAAUAGCUGAGUUUGCCCAUAAGAUGGCAGCAAUGCCCUUACAUGCACCGUGUCCGAACAAAUGACUGGAGCUGAAGAAACACAAGAAGAAAAGCAGCCAAACAAAUGAUGGCAAAAGGUACAUUUAAAGACGUUGUUUUAAAGGAUCAGUUACUGUUUUUUAAUUGUUGCAAAUUUGCUAAAAGGCUACAACUGCUACUUGCCUACUGUACUAGUAAUAAAAUAUUAAUGUAAAAAAAUAUGCAUUUGUAGAGUGACAAUCUUUUGUGGAGCUGCAUCAUUUUUGAUCAUUAUCUGCUUUACAUGAUGACCUAUGUGAUAGGUAAAACAUACUGUAGGGCUGGUUUUACCCAAAUCUUGCAGUACCUUCAACUGGCCAGGCGCAAAGUUGUUUCUUAGACACUAGAUUGGCAGGCCUUAUUUAUGAGUCUGUUUGAUUGUUUCCUUACAAUGGAGCCAAAAUACAUUUGUUCAGUGUUCUCUUGUACUAUCCAGUCUGCACUGUUCAACUAGCAAGUACAGAUCCCUAAAAUCUUAAUGUCCCUGUUAUACUCUUGGCGGGCUUCGCGUUGGAAUAAAAUUCAAACUGUUUUAUUUUUAUGGUUUUGUAUUUUUUAGAUUUGACUCUUGGCGCAAUGUUUUAUAAAAUGGAUUAUAGGGCCAUAUUAAGUGUCCUUGAUUCACAUGAAUUUGAAGGAAAAAAAAACUGGGUAGUUCUCUGACGUCCGUCCAUUGUUUAGAUUAGAAGGUGCUGGAAACAACAUCCAUAUGGAGCUAUAUCAAGUAUGGAGAUCUAGAACUAUCUUUCUAUCUGUCCAUCCAUAGUUGAGUCUCCUGUAAAAAUAACAUUGCAGUUUUAAUCUGCAGUCCUGUAUUCUAGUAAUGCCUUCUUGCAUGACUGUAUUUGAGUCUGUAUUUUUAAAGCAUUCGGUGUGCACUGAAGUCCUACAUGGGUUGGACAGAAAAAAAAAAAAGAAAAACCUUCAAUACCCAUAACAUGCUUUUAUGU